UACGGAGGGCGCAAGCGUUGUUCGGAAUCAUUGGGCGUAAAGCGCGUGUAGGCGGCUUGGCAAGUCGGAUGUGAAAUCCCGGGGCUCAACCCCGGAACUGCAUUCGAAACUGCCUCGCUAGAGUCCCGGAGAGGAGGGCGGAAUUCCCGGUGUAGAGGUGAAAUUCGUAGAUAUCGGGAGGAACACCAGUGGCGAAGGCGGCCCUCUGGACGGUGACUGACGCUGAGAUGCGAAAGCGUGGGGAGCAAACAGG
This 253-nucleotide ribosomal RNA is filed under the name uncultured bacterium. RNAcentral describes it as "partial 16S ribosomal RNA". It matches the Rfam family "Bacterial small subunit ribosomal RNA", at positions 524 to 776 of the family's 1533-position model. The record is from RNAcentral.